Molecule: ribosomal RNA, 411 nt
Filed under: Rhizophagus sp. CSD-2020a
Lineage: Eukaryota; Fungi; Glomeromycota; Glomeromycetes; Glomerales; Glomeraceae
Description: partial large subunit ribosomal RNA
Source: RNAcentral
AGAGUUAAACAGUACGUGAAAUUGUUGAAAGGGAAACGAUUGAAGUCAGUCGUACCGGUGGGUAAUCAGCCUUUCGGUGUGAUUAUGUGGAGUAUGAGGAGUUAAACGCCCUUGUGCCUGCAUAUUCGUGCUCUUUGGGUGUACUUGCCCGCAUGGUAGGUUAACAUCAAUUUCGGACGUCAUAAAAUGACGGGAGGAAUGUAGCUUCGGUCUCGGCUGAAGUGUUAUAGCCUCUGGUAGAUGUGACGUUUGGGAUUGAGGAUUGCAACGGAUACCCUUAGGGGCUACUCGUCUGAUCUCUGAUAGUUGCUCUGGUGCCGAAAGCGUGCUUACGGUUAUCAAAGUUGACGGUCAACAGGUUAGAACGGGUUAAAUUCGUUAAGGAUGUUGACGUAAUGGCUUUAAACGACC